GGAUUAGAUACCCUGGUAGUCCACGCAGUAAACUAUGCACACUUGAUGUAGAUCGGCUCAACCCGGUCUGUGUCGCAGCUAACGCGUUAAGUGUGCCGCCUGGGGAGUACGUCUGCAAGGAUGAAACUCAAAAGAAUUGACGGGGACUCGCACAAGCGGUGGAGCAUGUGGUUUAAUUCGAUGCUACGCGAGGAACCUUACCUAGGCUUGACAUAUAGAGGACAGCUCCAGAAAUGGUGUCUCCCUUACGGGUCUCUAUACAGGUGCUGCAUGGCUGUCGUCAGCUCGUGCCG
RNAcentral lists this ribosomal RNA (293 nucleotides) under uncultured bacterium. Its description in RNAcentral is "partial 16S ribosomal RNA". It matches the Rfam family "Bacterial small subunit ribosomal RNA", at positions 775 to 1067 of the family's 1533-position model. The record is from RNAcentral.